Molecule: non-coding RNA, 46 nt
Organism: Danio rerio (zebrafish)
Lineage: Eukaryota; Metazoa; Chordata; Actinopteri; Cypriniformes; Danionidae
Source: Rfam
CCAACGGCACUUUUCAGUGCCACGAAAACAUCAAUGAAUUCAAGGU